Molecule: ribosomal RNA, 505 nt
Filed under: uncultured Glomus
Lineage: Eukaryota; Fungi; Glomeromycota; Glomeromycetes; Glomerales; Glomeraceae
Description: SSU rRNA
Rfam family: Eukaryotic small subunit ribosomal RNA
Source: RNAcentral
AGCAGCCGCGGUAAUUCCAGCUCCAAUAGCGUAUAUUAAAGUUGUUGCAGUUAAAAAGCUCGUAGUUGAAUUUCGGGAUCAGUACGCUGGUCGUGCCUCCGGUAUGAACUGGUGUCACUGGUUCCUCCCUUCUGAAGAACCAUUAUGCCAUUAACUUGGUGUGGUGGGAAAUCAGGACUGUUACUUUGAAAAAAUUAGAGUGUUUAAAGCAGGCUCACGCUUGAAUACAUUAGCAUGGAAUAAUGAAAUAGGACGUUGAUCCUAUUUUGUUGGUUUCUAGGAUUGACGUAAUGAUUAAUAGGGAUAGUUGGGGGCAUUAGUAUUCAAUUGUCAGAGGUGAAAUUCUUGGAUUUUAUUGAAGACUAACUACUGCGAAAGCAUUUGCCAAGGAUGUUUUCAUUAAUCAAGAACGAAAGUUAGGGGAUCGAAGACGAUCAGAUACCGUCGUAGUCUUAACCAUAAGCUAUGCCGACUAGGGAUCGGAUGAUGUUAAUUUUUUUAAUGA